UCUAAACACGGACCAAGGAGUCUAACAUGUGUGCGAGUCAUUGGGCGCACUAAACCCAAAGGCGGAAUGAAAGUAAAGGGCCUCCCCCGAGGAGGCCCGAGGGCCGAUCCGCUCGCAGCCUCACCACCGUGGGGAGCGGCGGCGCAGGCUCGGGACUUGCACACCCCACCGUGGGUGGUGAGUACCAAGAGCAGACAUGUUGGGACCCGAAAGAUGGUGAACUAUGCCUGGCCAGGACGAAGCCAGAAGAAAUUCUGGUGGAGGUCCGUAGCGAUUCUGACGUGCAAAUCGAUCGUCGGAGCUGGGUAUAGGGGCGAAAGACUAAUCGAACCAUCUAGUA
Molecule: ribosomal RNA, 340 nt
Filed under: Gonodactylellus viridis
Lineage: Eukaryota; Metazoa; Arthropoda; Malacostraca; Stomatopoda; Gonodactylidae
Description: eukaryotic LSU rRNA
Rfam family: Eukaryotic large subunit ribosomal RNA
Source: RNAcentral